CUAGUUGCUACGAAAGGGCACUCUAGAGAGACUGCCGGUGACAAACCGGAGGAAGGUGGGGAUGACGUCAAGUCCUCAUGGCCCUUAUGGGUAGGGCUUCACACGUCAUACAAUGGUGCAUACAGAGGGUUGCCAAGCCGCGAGGUGGAGCUAAUCCCAGAAAAUGCAUCGUAGUCCGGAUCGUAGUCUGCAACUCGACUACGUGAAGCUGGAAUCGCUAGUAAUCGCGGAUCAGCAUGCCGCGGUGAAUACGUUCCCGGGUCUUGUAC
This 269-nucleotide ribosomal RNA is filed under the name uncultured bacterium. Its description in RNAcentral is "partial 16S ribosomal RNA". It matches the Rfam family "Bacterial small subunit ribosomal RNA", at positions 1111 to 1386 of the family's 1533-position model. The record is from RNAcentral.